This 253-nucleotide ribosomal RNA is filed under the name uncultured bacterium. RNAcentral's name for it is "partial 16S ribosomal RNA". It matches the Rfam family "Bacterial small subunit ribosomal RNA", at positions 524 to 776 of the family's 1533-position model. The record is from RNAcentral.
UACGUAGGGGGCAAGCGUUGUCCGGAUUUAUUGGGCGUAAAGCGCUCGCAGGUGGUCCGUUGCGUCGUGCGUGAAAGACCCCGGCUCAACUGGGGAGGGUCACGCGAUACUGAUCGACUCGAAGGCAGGAGAGGGUAGUGGAAUUCCCGGUGUAGUGGUGAAAUGCGUAGAUAUCGGGAGGAACACCAGUGGCGAAGGCGACUACCUGGCCUGUUCUUGACGCUGAGGCGCGAAAGCUAGGGGAGCAAACGGG